GACCGCGAGAGGAGAGAGGGAGGACAUUUUCCGGGAUUGGAAAGCGCACGCAAAGUUUCAUGUAAAUCCUGAUUUACUUUAACUCAAGAGGAGGACGUAUCUACAUCUCACAACCUCGUUUUUCUUCUUUUCAAAGGUGUUUACCUCCCACCCCGCCCCACCACGGCCCUCACCUGUGUGUUGCGGUGCUUCCCCUGUGAGCCGACCUGGGCCGGCAGCCCCUUCUUGCACCGCCCGCCGACCCGGCCCAUGGUCACCAUGACGCGCUCCAAAACAUUCCAGGCCUACCUGCCCAGCUGCCAUCGCACCUACAGCUGUAUCCACUGCAGGGCGCACCUUGCCAACCACGAUGAGCUCAUCUCUAAGUCUUUUCAAGGAAGUCAGGGCAGAGCAUAUCUGUUCAACGCUGUGGUUAAUGUGGGAUGUGGUCCUGCAGAGGAGAGGGUUCUGCUCACAGGGCUCCAUGCAGUGGCAGACAUCUACUGUGAAAACUGCAAAACUACACUAGGGUGGAAAUAUGAACAUGCCUUUGAGAGCAGUCAGAAGUACAAGGAGGGCAAGUUCAUCAUCGAGCUCGCCCACAUGAUCAAGGACAACGGCUGGGACUGAGCAAACUGGAUAAUGGGUGAAUGGUGAAUGUGUGGGUGAAUGACUGACUUUGGUUUGCCAUUACCCUCUUAAACCCUGUUCUCCUGCAGACACACGUGCCCCUUGUCCUGGGGAUCAAGAGAGGAGGCCAUUCCGGGGGGUUUUGGGUGUCUGGAGGAGAGCGUGUGUGUGGCUGCCACCGGCACGUGGGAGCACACUGAGAUACAUGAAUGCAUACACAAGGAUCAGGGUCACGAGUUUACAGAGCUGAUGGGGCUUGCUUCACAUCUUGUCAGUGAGAAACUACCAUGCUGAUCUUUCCAAAUUCAGCUGAGAUUUGUACCAUCUGCCCCAGCGAGGAAGCCUGGCACGCGCAGAAGGCAGGAAUGGGAACGGAGAGAUCUCCGAAUGGAGCUCUGACAGACCUACUUAAACUAAUAAAUGGCAGAAAAAAGGGUUUACCUGUCCUGCUUUUUUUACAUCUCGAAUUAAUGAAAAAGUUCAACCAAAAAUGUCAAUUCUGUAAAAUAAUUUACUCACCCACAUGUUGUUCCAAAAUCUGUAUGACUUUCAUUUCUCAUUGCAUACAAAACAAGACAUUUUGAGUGUUCUGGUCACUCUUUUCAAGCUACUAAAAUAUAGGCAAAAGCACUAUAAAAGUUUCAUUAAUUUGUGUUGAUAUGGAAAAAUAUCUCCUUUUGUUUCCACUAUUGGUCGGCCGAUAUGGGUUUUUCAAUGGCUGAUAUCUAUUGAGCAUGAUGGCUGAUAUACUGUUAAUGCAGAUAAACAUAAUGCAUAUUAACAACAGCAUAUCAGACGUAAACAACAUUUCUACAGUGAAACAAACACUCAUUUUAUGCAAUAUUUUCUCAAAUUUGUUAAAACAUGAAUGACAUGAGGGUGAGUAAAUGAUGAUAUAAUUUUUAUUUUUGGGUGAACUAUCUCUUUAACACUGUGUUCUAACCAGGCCUGAUGUGCUAAAAGCUGGGUAGCCCCUCCCACAGUGACGUGUCAUUGGUCCAAAAUCCUGCUCCACAUAGCUACAGUAUAUAUUAAACAUCACCUGUGUUCUGAUUGGCUGUGACAUUUCGUGAGGCUUUUUCACAUUCAGUAUGGACAGACAAAUUGUCUGUUGCUAGAAUCUUAGCGCAACGCAUCUGAUUAUGACACGGUGUAACAUGAAUGUAAAUCUUUGUUAAUAUAUAUAUAUUUAUAUAAUUUUGUAUGUUUGUUUGUUUUUUUUUUUGGCUUGGUGGCAGAGAAUGGUAACAUGUAGGAUUGUGAAUAAUAAUGAACAAAACAAGCUCCAUUUUAUUUAUUUGUUGAACUGACAUGUGGUAAUAUACAAUAUGUGUAUAAACCUAUUUAUUCAUCGUAACAGCUGUUCAUGUGUGUCAGGGUCUAAAUUUUUGCUUUUGUUUAAAUUAUUCUGACUGUCAUCCAAGCAUUGCCACGCUUUAUACCUGGACACCAAAAUUUACUACUUUUUUACUCUGGUAAGAAGUUUCAGCGUAUUUUAUAAAUGGACGAGAGGAUCGCGAUAUUAUUGGAACUCUCAUUAACAUUUAUAUAAAAUAUAAAUAAAAGUGAAAUCUGAUUUAUUUGC
Molecule: RNA transcript, 2194 nt
Organism: Xyrauchen texanus (razorback sucker)
Lineage: Eukaryota; Metazoa; Chordata; Actinopteri; Cypriniformes; Catostomidae
Gene name: protein yippee-like 2
Exons: 6
Source: RefSeq, a predicted model, not a curated record